UGUCCCUACGGGAGGCAGCAGUGGGGAAUAUUGCACAAUGGGGGAAACCCUGAUGCAGCGACGCCGCGUGAGCGAAGAAGUAUUUCGGUAUGUAAAGCUCUAUCAGCAGGGAAGAAAAUGACGGUACCUGACUAAGAAGCUCCGGCUAAAUACGUGCCAGCAGCCGCGGUAAUACGUAUGGAGCAAGCGUUAUCCGGAUUUACUGGGUGUAAUGGGAGCGCAGGCGGCAUGGCAAGUCUGGUGUGAACGGCCGGGGCUCAACCCCGGGGCUGCCUUGGAAACUGCCAGGCUGGAGUGCUGGAGAG
RNAcentral lists this ribosomal RNA (305 nucleotides) under uncultured bacterium. Its description in RNAcentral is "bacterial SSU rRNA". It matches the Rfam family "Bacterial small subunit ribosomal RNA", at positions 334 to 656 of the family's 1533-position model. The record is from RNAcentral.